GAUGAACGCUGGCGGCGUGCUUAACACAUGCAAGUCGAACGGAACACCCUUGAAGGAGUUUUCGGACAACUGAUAGGACUGUUUAGUGGCGGACGGGUGAGUAACGCGUGAGUAACCUGCCUUGGAGUGGGGAAUAACAGCUGGAAACAGCUGCUAAUACCGCAUAAUAUAUCUGUGUCGCAUGGCACUGGAUAUCAAAGAUUUAUCGCUCUGAGAUGGACUCGCGUCUGAUUAGCUGGUUGGCGGGGUAACGGCCCACCAAGGCGACGAUCAGUAGCCGGACUGAGAGGUUGGCCGGCCACAUUGGGACUGAGACACGGCCCAG
RNAcentral lists this ribosomal RNA (325 nucleotides) under uncultured bacterium. Its description in RNAcentral is "bacterial SSU rRNA". It matches the Rfam family "Bacterial small subunit ribosomal RNA", at positions 28 to 334 of the family's 1533-position model. The record is from RNAcentral.